This 231-nucleotide transfer-messenger RNA is filed under the name Mesorhizobium sp. M2D.F.Ca.ET.145.01.1.1. Its description in RNAcentral is "partial transfer-messenger RNA". It matches the Rfam family "Alphaproteobacteria transfer-messenger RNA", at positions 1 to 225 of the family's 355-position model. Rfam says of the family: Bacterial tmRNA, also known as 10Sa RNA or SsrA, is named for its dual tRNA and mRNA-like properties. Lineage: Bacteria; Pseudomonadati; Pseudomonadota; Alphaproteobacteria; Hyphomicrobiales; Phyllobacteriaceae. The record is from RNAcentral.
GGCCUUUCAUUUCCGCCAAACGCCCCCUAUAUUCGUUUUGUCGGCUUGACCGACUAUGGCGAUAAAUGGGCGAUGAAAUAAGCCGUUCGGACCCGGGGGCGGUACCCGGCGCCUCCACCAAAAGCCGCUGUUGACGACAGAGCGGUUUUUGCUGGGGGCGAAAUAGGAUCGACGAAGGUGUAAAGAUCGUACUUUUGCCCGGCAUUGUACCACCGUCAUCGGGCUAAACUU